GACGAACGCUGGCGGCGUGCCUAAUACAUGCAAGUUGAGCGAUGAAGAUUGGUGCUUGCACCAAUUUGAAGAGCAGCGAACGGGUGAGUAACGCGUGGGGAAUCUGCCUUUGAGCGGGGGACAACAUUUGGAAACGAAUGCUAAUACCGCAUAACAACUUUAAACAUAAGUUUUAAGUUUGAAAGAUGCAAUUGCAUCACUCAAAGAUGAUCCCGCGUUGUAUUAGCUAGUUGGUGAGGUAAAGGCUCACCAAGGCGAUGAUACAUAGCCGACCUGAGAGGGUGAUAGGCCACAUUGGGACUGAGACACGGCCCAAACUCCUACGGGAGGCAGCAGUAGGGAAUCUUCGGCAAUGGACGAAAGUCUGACCGAGCAACGCCGCGUGAGUGAAGAAGGUUGUCGGAUCGUAAAACUCUGUUGGUAGAGAAGAACGUUGGUGAGAGUGGAAAGCUCAUCAAGUGACGGUAACUACCCAGAAAGGGACGGCUAACUACGUG
Molecule: ribosomal RNA, 497 nt
Filed under: uncultured bacterium
Lineage: Bacteria
Description: partial 16S ribosomal RNA
Rfam family: Bacterial small subunit ribosomal RNA
Source: RNAcentral